AAGUCGUAACAAGGUUUCCGUAGGUGAACCUGCGGAAGGAUCAUUAACACGUAUCCAACGUUAAACAACCCCGUGAACCUUCAGCCUGCUCUCGUAGCCCACGCGGCAACAGCAAUCCCGGUAAAUCAUUGACGACCAGUUUUGAUUCGGGACCUCUGUUACGAUGUGAGAAGUUACAGUUACGAUCGAGCGGUAGAGUCAGUGGCAUGGCGUAUUACUAAUGACUAGCUUAGCGGUAACGCGCUGAGUAAAAAAAAACCGAACAACUGUUAACAAUGGAUAUCUUGGUUCUC
Molecule: unclassified non-coding RNA, 293 nt
Filed under: fungal sp.
Lineage: Eukaryota; Fungi
Description: partial internal transcribed spacer region
Rfam family: Eukaryotic small subunit ribosomal RNA (bases 1-46)
Source: RNAcentral